UGAUUGCGAAUGAGAUCGUCACUGUCAUGACAAGUUCUAAUUAUUACAUAAUGAUGUAAGAUUCAAAAUUCAAUUAAAUUAUUAAAUAACAAGAAUUGAAUACCUCUUUUUGUAACUUCAUUGGGGUGUAAAAGCGUUAACUGAAGUACAUUUUGUAGCACGCUUCAUUUUAAAUAUGUGCGCACAGUCAACCCUCAUACAUUAUUAAGAAAAUGUGGUAUGAUUGCCAUUUACUAGCAAAAGGACUCUCAAAUACAAACUAAAUCACUUUAUACAGCCUUCGUCCACACACCAUUACUGGUUAGCAAACUUUAUUAGUCCUGGAUAGGACAAAGUUGAACAAUUCAAAUGAUAAAAUGUAACAUGUUCAAAACAAUAAACAAAAUAUUUAAUAUACAGUACAGCAACUAAUGACUACCACUGAAUAAAUUAUAGUCAUGUCUUGGAACUGCCACAUAAGCUACUGAAAUUGAAUGUGGCCUGGUAAAUCAUGUUUGUUGGUGCUCAGCCAACCCCAGAACAUAAAACAAUAUGUAACAAAAAUUAAACAUGCAACGCAAGACAACCUAUAAAAAUCUUACAAAUAUGGCUCAACCUAUUUAGACUGUUUACAAUUGAAUUGUCUGACCAGUAACAGUUUAUGUCUGUUACAUGUUAACAUUACUUUUAAACUAGCAAGACUUAAGUUUCAUGCAUAGUGUUUAUAGUUCACAGCACAUCCAGUCAUGGUUAUGUCUGAUAUUUACUUCAUCAAUACUGAACUAAGCAAAAUUUGAGGUUUGACUACGAUAGGCAUGGUAGGUCAUAAAAUCAAUAUAAAAAAAAUAUGGUAUGACUGCCAAUGAGACGAAUCUUCACAAUAGAUUAAAUGGCACAGAAGUUAACAACUACAAGUCAUAUGGCCUUGAACAAUGAGCAUAGGGAGCUGUAAAGGGCCCUGAAAUGACAUUGUACAACAAUUCAAAUGAGAAAGGCCUAAUUUACAUACAUAAAAUGAACAAAAAAACAAUUAUGUAACCCAUAAACAAACGGCAACCACUAAGUUACAGGCUCCUGGCUUGGGACAGGCACAUAAAAACAGAAUAGUGUGGCUGGGUUAAAUAAGUAAGCCAAGAGAUCCAUACUUUUUUAAAAGAAUCUUCAAUUGUAAUUUUUUUUCCAUUUAUUGCCCAUACUUUUGAAAAUUUGGUUAUUUAAUCUGUUCCAACUAAAACAGGAGAGGUAUCCAGGAGUGUUGUGGGAAUAUUUGGAUAGAGAAGACUUGAUUAGACUUUCUUGCAUUUAAUAUCUUACUCCUAGAAUUUAUGUACUGA
Molecule: long non-coding RNA, 1313 nt
Filed under: Mytilus galloprovincialis (Mediterranean mussel)
Lineage: Eukaryota; Metazoa; Mollusca; Bivalvia; Mytilida; Mytilidae
Source: RNAcentral